This is a non-coding RNA of Anguilla rostrata (American eel), 496 nucleotides long. NCBI's taxonomy places the organism in Eukaryota, Metazoa, Chordata, Actinopteri, Anguilliformes, Anguillidae. The record is from the annotation of a RefSeq genome assembly.
AAUAUCUGAUUUUAAUGGUAGCGUCUCAUCUGUUGGGAACCGUUGAGUGGAUCCAGUCUUACCUCACUUCCUGUGUAGGGGCCCUGACUUUUUCAGGGCCUCGUACCUCUGGCGUUUCACAUCUUUGAGGUUCUGGAUUCACACACUGAGACUGAGGAACAUGGUCCCUGUUGUCCUCUUCUUCCUCCUGCCACUCGGCUACGCAGUUAACCAGACGGCAGACGUCUUUUCGGAAGAGGGACGCAACGUGACCCUGGCGUGUUCCCAGAGGAACACCGACUUCAACAGCAUGUACUGGUUUCGGCAGAGGCCCGGCGAGGGGCUCGAGCCGAUCGUGUAUUUCUACGUCCAGAUGGAGACGAUGGAGGAGCGGCUGAAGGAGAGGUUUUCUGCCGAGCGCGUCGGCGCCUCCCUGACGCUGACUCUCCGCGGGGCGCGGCUGAGCGACAGCGGCGGCGUGUACUUCUGCGCGAAGCAAGAGGCACGUGCAGUGUGA